Molecule: ribosomal RNA, 472 nt
Filed under: uncultured bacterium
Lineage: Bacteria
Description: SSU rRNA
Rfam family: Bacterial small subunit ribosomal RNA
Source: RNAcentral
AGAUUGAACGCUGGCGGCAUGCCUUACACAUGCAAGUCGAACGGCAGCACGGGGGCAACCCUGGUGGCGAGUGGCGAACGGGUGAGUAAUACAUCGGAACGUGUCCUGUAGUGGGGGAUAGCCCGGCGAAAGCCGGAUUAAUACCGCAUACGAUCUACGGAAGAAAGCGGGGGAUCCUUCGGGACCUCGCGCUAUAGGGGCGGCCGAUGGCAGAUUAGCUAGUUGGUGGGGUAAAGCCUACCAAGGCGACGAUCUGUAGCUGGUCUGAGAGGACGACCAGCCACACUGGGACUGAGACACGGCCCAGACUCCUACGGGAGGCAGCAGUGGGGAAUAUUGGACAAUGGGCGCAAGCCUGAUCCAGCCAUGCCGCGUGAGUGAUGAAGGCCCUAGGGUUGUAAAGCUCUUUUGUGCGGGAAGAUAAUGACGGUACCGCAAGAAUAAGCCCGGCUAACUUCGUGCCAGCAGCCGC